GGUGAAGGAGCUCAGUGGACGUAUGAAUGGAGAGCAGCCAAGUUAAACACACCUCCAACAUCCAGUGAACACAGAAUCAUCAGAGCUACUGAGUCUGACAGUGGAGGAUACAGCUGCCGGGGCAGAAGGGACUAUUUCUUCUCAGAGUGGAGUGAUAUCAUCACACUGACUGUAUCAUUGAAGAGAACAAAACAUAUGAGAGUAACUUCUCUGCUGUGCAGCUCUAAUACAUGAAAGAUGAAAUGCAGAACAAAUGCUGAAUCUGUCUCAGCUGCUCCACCACAUCCACUAAGAAACAUUAAAUCCACUGAUUGGUUCACAGCAUAAAACAACAGAGUGGAGUGAUUCAGUUUCUGACAAUAAACCCCGUCCUGUCCUCACUGUGUCUCCAUCAUGGCUGAGUCCUGGAGCCUCAG
Molecule: long non-coding RNA, 416 nt
Organism: Oreochromis niloticus (Nile tilapia)
Lineage: Eukaryota; Metazoa; Chordata; Actinopteri; Cichliformes; Cichlidae
Exons: 3
Source: RefSeq, a predicted model, not a curated record